Non-coding RNA from Salmo salar (Atlantic salmon), 2389 nucleotides. Lineage: Eukaryota; Metazoa; Chordata; Actinopteri; Salmoniformes; Salmonidae. The record is from RefSeq and is a predicted model, not a curated record.
CAUUUGAUUUGGCAUAGGCCUAGUUGAACAGUAAGUUUUACUCUAAUGUUGACGAUAGGAACCUGUGGCUCUGAUGUUCCUUGUAAACAAAAUCAAAAUACCACUAGGGCAGAAGAUUAUCCGUAUUCAUGUUACAAAUUAUAAACAUGACUUUCUGAACCAUGCCUUAAGGCUUACAAUGUUGGUAUCCUGAUUGCGCCUGAUUUGAACCGGAUAUACAACUUUAGUCGGGGUCACGUUUAUUGUUGAAGAGGAAAGAUGUCUGUACUGAUUUUAUUCAAUUUCAACGAUGCAAAAGAUAUAUUUACAGCCUCAACCAGGAGUGCGUUGGUCAACAAAACCAGCAAACCUUUGAUAAACGCAUUCAACCAGAUCACUGGAAAUGAGACAGAGAAGAAGACCACCCUUGACCAAGCUCUGAGGCAAGUCCUGGAGGAGGAGAUUGUGGAAAAGAAAGCACUCGUCGAUGACUUUCUGUCUCUCAUCUAUUUCAGCAUUGAUGGAGUUACUGAAGGUAUCUGCUCCGCCACCACUCCUUUCCUACUGUUGGGAGAUGUUCUGGACUGUCUUCCUCUGUACCAGUGUGAUAAGGUCUUCUCCUUUGUUGAAGAGAAUGUCUCCACCUGGAAGUCUAACUCCUUUUACACUGCUGGGAAAAACUACUUGUUAAGGAUGUGUAAUGAUCUUUUGAGGAGGUUGUCCAAGUCUCAGAACACAGUCUUCUGUGGACGGAUCCAGCUGUUCCUGGCUCGUCUCUUUCCCCUGUCUGAGAAAUCAGGUCUGAACCUGCAGAGCCAGUUUAAUCUCGACAACAUCACAGUGUUCAACAAAAAUGAGCUAGAGAGCACUCUUGGCCAGAAGCCCACAGAGGAGGAGGAUGGGAUGGAAGUGGAGGAGGGGGAGAUGGGAGAUGAGGAACCUAGUGCACCUGCUCCAUGUUCCAUCCCUAUCGACUACAACCUAUACAGAAAGUUCUGGACUCUGCAGGACUACUUCAGAAACCCUGUUCAGUGUUAUGAGAAGUUUUCCUGGAUGACUUUCCUCAAGUAUUCAGACGAGACGCUGGCAGUGUUUAGAAGCUUCAAGCUGGACGACAUGCAGGCUUCUAAAAGGAAGCUGGAAGAGCAAAGGACGGCAGGAGGAGACCACGUUUACUUUGCCAAGUUCCUCACCAGUGAGAAGUUGAUGGACCUGCAGCUCAGUGACAGUAACUUCAGACGACACAUCCUCCUGCAGUACCUUAUCCUGUUUCAGUACCUCAAGGGACAGGUCAAGUUCAAAAGCUCCAGUUGUAUCCUGAAUGAUGAUCAGUGUUCAUGGAUGGAGGAGACCACCAAAGUUGUGUACCAGCUGCUCAGAGAGAUCCCACCGGAUGGAGACAAGUUUGCCACCAUGGUCGAGCAUGUCCUAAACACAGAGGAGAACUGGAACUCGUGGAAAAAUGAAGGAUGCCCAAGCUUUGUGAAGGAAAGACCAGUAGAUGACAAACCCAAGAGACCCAUGAGGAAGAGACAAGCUCCAGAAGACUUCCUAGGUAAAGGCCCUGACAGGAAGGUCUUCAUGGGGAAUGAUGAACUCACGAGACUGUGGAAUCUGAACCAUAACAAUAUGGCAGCUUGCCAGUCAGUUAGCAGGGAAUUCAUGCCUACUCUGGAGGAGUUUUUUGAAGAGGCCAUUGAACAGGCUGACCCAGCCAACAUGGUGGAAGACGAGUACAAACCUGUCCAAUGGUGUCAAGAAAGAUCCUGCUGUGUGAAGUGUUCUGGUUCAAUAUUAUCCACUCAGCUCCACGCCCCCUGUCCUGUAGGGUGGUGCGUAACUCAAACUAUGGCUGGCGAGCCCUGCGUCUGUUGUCUAGGAGGAGUCCCCACUUCUUCCAGCCCACCAACCAGCAGUUCAAGAGCCUGGCUGACUACCUGGAGAGCAUGGUCAUCAAACUGGCCAAGGAGCUGCCGAAGGACCUCCCGUCUGAGGAGAUAAAGACAGGAGAGGAAGACUAUGAAGACAACGGUGACACGCUUCUCAAAGAGAGCAACGACAGUCUGAGCAUGCAGACCAAACUGGUGUCUAACCAGCAGAUGGAUGACAUAGCAGCCAAGCUGGGUUCCCAAUGGAAGACCCUGGCUGGCCAGCUGGAGAUAAAAGCAGCGGAGAUCCGGGAGAUUGAGACAGACAGCAAGGACGUGGACAUGCAGGCCAAGCUGCUGCUGGUGGCCUGGCAGGACCGUGAGGGGACACAGGCCACUGUCGAGAGCCUGGUUCCAGCGCUCAAUGCUGCUGGCUUCCCCAAGAUCGCAGAGAUCCUCAACGAGACAUAGAUUAAGGCCUUGCUUAGACAUGACUGUAAUUUCGUCCUCCGUAGAAUCUUUAAAUAAACACUCAACUUUGA